UGAGUAAUUUAACUUUUUCUCCUUGAUGGGGGAUGCCUGCACCAUCUGUGCUCCUCACUCUCUUUUUGCUGUUUGGAUGUGGCAGCCAUUUUGUGUUUUGCCACGCCAGCCAUGACAGCCAUUUCAUACCCUCCAAUAUUUCUCCGAUGAAAAUAGGGACAUCCUAAGGAAAAGUGGGACGUUCUGGGAUCAAAACAGAAACCGGAACGGCUUCUCUAAGUUAGGAACAUCUCUGGAAAAUAGGGACACUUGAGGGGUCUGCCAUUUUGUGCUACUGUAUGUCACAUUACCCACUGCAGUCCUUUUGUGACUGGGGCCAGUGGCAGUUUAUCAAAAUACUAAAUGUGCCCCCUAAAUGUGUUAAAAGAGUCAGUGUUUUAUUAUACUCUCAAAAUGCUUUCCUUAUUUUUGAGCUCUUCAGGUGGAAAGCCCAAACCAACUGAAAUUUACUUUUACUUAAUUCUGUAUGACAAAACACACCUUAGAAUCCUCAUAUUGUCCAUAAUCACUGAGAAAAUGGAGAAAGUCACUUUUUUUGUCCUUUAUCAGAAGACUGCCACUCUCUUUCAUGAAAAAGGCUUGAAUAGUUAACUGAGUAAUUGCUUGGUGGCCAGAAAUUCAGUGGAUGCAAAACGGGUAUUAAGUGGCACCUGUAACACUGCCAGUUACUGCAAUCAAAACAGUUAAGAAAGCAGAUAUGGGGGCCAUAGCUCAGUGGAAGGGCACCUGUUUUUCCUGCUGAAGGUUCAGUCCUUUACAUUUCCAGGUAAGAUUGGAAAAGACCUGUGUCAGCUUCAGCCUGCUAGGACUGUUAGGAUUUGUAGUCAAAAAUACUGGAAAUGCACCAGGUCAAUGAAAGCUGAGCUAAAAACAGUAACUUAAAAAAAACUGCAUCCAAAUAAAUCUCAUCAACAGAAGUGUUUUUUAAAAAAUUGGGUUCUUGUAUAAACUGUCAAGGAAUUUUGUCAGCUCUUUCCCAACUUGAACAGCUCUGUCUUCCCUGCAUGGUCAAAACAUUGCCACAUUUAAAGUUACAGGGGUGACCAGAUAUCUCUCAUUCCUGCUCAAUGCUCUGCCACUCCUUCUAGCUAAACCAGCUGUCGGCCCCUGUGGCGAGUGCUCCCAUGUGCAAAGAUCCACUGUGAGAAAUGAAAUCCUAGGACUGUUACAAGACACUCCUUCCUGACAUGUGCUACUUGUAUAGUAAGUUCACUGUUUGGGUGGCUGUCAGGCAGGAAGUAUAACCAUUGAAUGGUGUUUAUCUGCCAAACAUAUGCCAUCCAUUAAGUGAGAUGAUGUCAAGCUUAUUUGUACUGAAAGAAAACAAAGAUCAAGGUUGUAGUUUUUCCCAUCCAUAACAUUUUGUAUCCUUAGUAUGUCUUAUUUCUAUGGUUGCAAAUAGGGAUGAAAUUUUCCAAAAGGCUCACUUUGCGUGGAUUUCCCCCCCUAAUGUCCAUCUUGCUCCUUGAUCUCAGUUAGAAAUCAUUUAUUUUUUACAGGUUUCACCAAAAAUAGAAAUAAUUAUUACUUGCACCAUUAUAUUCAUCAUUAUGCACAUUAUAAUAUGUACAAUCUUAUAUUUUACCAGGUCUGUGAAUGUUUAAGAAAAAAUUAUUGCUGCUGUUGUUCUUAUUGCUGUAAUAUUACAUACAUGUUACAUGUGUAUACACUCCAAUAUUCCUAAAGCAACCAGCACAUAAAUUGAUACAACAAUACAU
Non-coding RNA from Podarcis muralis (Common wall lizard), 1718 nucleotides. NCBI's taxonomy places the organism in Eukaryota, Metazoa, Chordata, Lepidosauria, Squamata, Lacertidae. The record is from RefSeq and is a predicted model, not a curated record.